GUUGAACGCUGGCGGCAGGCUUAACACAUGCAAGUCGAGCGGUAACAUUUCUAGCUCGCUAGAAGAUGACGAGCGGCGGACGGGUGAGUAAUGCUUGGGAAUAUGCCUUUGAGUGGGGACAACAGUUGGAAACGACUGCUAAUACCGCAUAACGUCUACGGACCAAAGGGGGGGAUCUUCGGACCUCUCGCUCAUAGAUUAGCCCAAGUGAGAUUAGCUAGUUGGUAAGGUAAUGGCUUACCAAGGCGACGAUCUCUAGCUGGUUUGAGAGGAUGAUCAGCCACACUGGGACUGAGACACGGCCCAG
This 307-nucleotide ribosomal RNA is filed under the name uncultured bacterium. RNAcentral's name for it is "bacterial SSU rRNA". It matches the Rfam family "Bacterial small subunit ribosomal RNA", at positions 28 to 334 of the family's 1533-position model. The record is from RNAcentral.